AUACGUAGGGGGCGAGCGUUGUCCGGAAUGAUUGGGCGUAAAGGGCGCGUAGGCGGCGCGGUAAGUCUGGAGUGAAAGUCCUGCUUUCAAGGCGGGAAUUGCUUUGGAUACUGCCGCGCUUGAGUGCAGGAGAGGUUAUCGGAAUUCCCGGUGUCGCGGUGAAAUGCGUAGAGUUCGGGAGGAACACCAGUGGAGAAGCCGGGUAACUGGACUGCACAUGACUCUGAGGCGCGAAAGUGUGGGGAGCAAGUAGGAUUAGAUGCCCUGGUACUCCACACUAUAAACGAUGAAUUCUAGGUGUAAGAGUUAUCGACCCCUUUUGUGCCGGAGUCAACACAAUAAGAAUUCCGGCUGGGAAGUACAGCCGCAAGGUUGAAACUCAAAGGAAUUGACGGGU
RNAcentral lists this ribosomal RNA (397 nucleotides) under uncultured bacterium. RNAcentral describes it as "partial 16S ribosomal RNA". It matches the Rfam family "Bacterial small subunit ribosomal RNA", at positions 523 to 918 of the family's 1533-position model. The record is from RNAcentral.